AUAUGCUGGGUGAAUGGGGAGCGUGAGAUCGAUUUGAAUUGAUCCCAGCCCUUCACUCAUCAGGUUGGUGCCUGAUUAGUAGAGGAUUUUUUUUCGAAGAAAAGGGCAGAGUUCUUCAGGGGAUUUUGGGGAGAAAUUUCGGAGAACUGGAGAGGAUUCCCCAUUUUGAGAGAUUGGAAAAAAGAUUUAAAAAGAACGAUUAUAUCUCUUCUGAUUUUCGUUUUUUUUUGGGUGAAAUUUUGUUUUUCGAGAAAUAAAAAGAAAUGUCCGUUUUCUACCUUGAUUUUGACUUUUUCUUAAAAACCAUGGAAUACGUCUGAGUUUUUUUUUUUCUGGGGAUUUCGAAGUCUUCUGUCGCUGUUCGAGGUUCAUUCCUUGGUGGCUGAAUUUCGUGUUUCCUGUUCGACUUUCACUGGGUUUUUUCGGAUUGACGACUUCGACGCCAGUUACUUGUAUUUUUCUUCCGAACAGAAUUAAUCGAAGUGUAAUUUUCAGGAGCGGCGCGAAUCCGAAUAUUUAACAAAAAUUAUUUUGGCCCAGCCAAACAUACUUACUAUUUUCCUUGCCACGUCAGUUGCACAAACGCUGUACGUCAUUCUAGUCUCAAGAGUUUAACAGUUAUCUGCUACGCGCGCUCGAUAAUUGCCUUUUUCCAACUUGACAGAACUGAACUGAGUGGUAUUAUCUGAUCGGCGCCCGAGAUGAAAGUUCUUCACAUUCCAUGCUUAGAUGACAAUUAUUCCUAUAUGAUCAUAGAUGAAACAACAAAGGAAGCUGCAGUAGUGGACCCAGUGGAGCCACAUAAGGUCCUUAGAGUUGCUCAGGAGAAUGAAGUUGACCUUAAGUUUGUUCUCACAACUCAUCACCACUGGUCCGUUCCACUUCUCUUAUCUUUUUUUUUCUUUUAGUGUUCCGAUAAUAAUGCUCGCUAUCUGAAACCUCUUUUUUUUUUUCAUUUUUAAAUUCUACAUUUUGUUUAGUUUUCUAUUUAUUUCCCAUUUGAUUGUUGAAUUUGGCUGGGUUGUGAGAAUUUCUUGGUUUUUAUUUUAGUUGUUUUUAAUUUCUUUGUUUCCUGAGGCUAGAAAUCGAGAGCACAUGUUUGAUCGUUUUUACCAUAUUAGUGACAGAUCAAAGUUCUUAUAAAGGCACAGCGGAGGCGUUUGGACAAUUUUUGAGUUAUAGUUGAAAAAAAGAGUGUUGGAAGUUGAAGUUGAAAAAACAGUUUGUGGAAAUCGGUGUUUGGACAUGAAAUUCACUUUAAAAAAGAUGGUUGUGAAAGUUGAAACUAAUAUGAAACUUGAAAUACACCUUUACACUAGCGUUCCAAUAUUUCUCAUAUACUGAAUUACAAUAUGCAAAUACUGAAAUAGGAGUUGUAAUCAUAUAUCAUACACAGCGGGCCCUUAUUGACAGAGUCAAAACAGUUUUGGGUGAUAGUCUAAUGCUAUGUUGCGCGGACUCUCCAAAAUGUAGCCGCACCCGUGUCGGAUCCUUCAAAAAUGCACUACUUUUGGAGGAUCCAACACGUAUCCGGCCACAUUUUUUCGGAGAGUCCGAGCAACAUAGGCCUAAUGUAUGAUGAUGGAUCCAUUAUCCUGAAAUGUAAAUUGGAAUUUUCAGAAAUAGCUAUUUCUCAAGUUUACUUUCUUAGAAAAAGCUAUUGUCAAGUUUAUAAAGAAGGGCAAGUGAAUUUUCGCACCUCGCUUACUGGUCGGACGACUGUUGGUGAAGGCAUUGUUUUGUAAUUAGAACAAAAACAUGUGGGACCAUUUGGUCAUAUGUGCAGUUCAAAUGGCAUUAGUUCUCUUUGAAGAACAUGUUUAAUUUUUGUUUGUCAGAUUAAUAAAUGGACAAAAUUGCUCAUUUGAUAGAACUUGAAAAUCCCAAAAUUCUCUUUGUUUCAACCCAAGAAAAGAUGUUGAUAAUAGAUGUAAUUAAGUCCUAAACACAAAUGUAUAAUCUUGCUUAGUUUUCAUUGCAGCGGCAAACUUCUUAGAGCCUGAAGCUAUGUUGGACUUUAUCUGUUCCUUACAUUCCCUGUGAUGAACCUUCCGCAGUGUCUGCUGGUUUACGCCAAUAAAACUUACCCAAAAAAAAAAAAAAGAAAGGAUGCU
Molecule: non-coding RNA, 2114 nt
Organism: Nicotiana tabacum (common tobacco)
Lineage: Eukaryota; Viridiplantae; Streptophyta; Magnoliopsida; Solanales; Solanaceae
Source: RefSeq, a predicted model, not a curated record